AGAGUUUGAUCCUGGCUCAGAUUGAACGCUGGCGGCAGGCCUAACACAUGCAAGUCGAGCGGCAGCAGCUCCUUCGGGAGGCUGGCGAGCGGCGGACGGGUGAGUAACGCAUGGGAACUUACCCAGUAGUGGGGGAUAGCCCGGGGAAACCCGGAUUAAUACCGCAUACGCCCUGAGGGGGAAAGCGGGCUCCGGCUCGCGCUAUUGGAUGGGCCCAUGUCGGAUUAGUUAGUUGGUGGGGUAACGGCCUACCAAGGCGACGAUCCGUAGCUGGUCUGAGAGGAUGAUCAGCCACACCGGGACUGAGACACGGCCCGGACUCCUACGGGAGGCAGCAGUGGGGAAUAUUGGACAAUGGGGGCAACCCUGAUCCAGCCAUGCCGCGUGUGUGAAGAAGGCCUUAGGGUUGUAAAGCACUUUCAGCAGGGAGGAAAAGCUGUCGGUUAAUACCCGCCAGUGUUGACGUUACCUGCAGAAGAAGCACCGGCUAACUCCGUGCCAGCAGCCGCGGUAAUACGGAGGGUGCAAGCGUUAAUCGGAAUUACUGGGCGUAAAGGGCGCGUAGGCGGUUUGGUAAGCGAGUUGUGAAAGCCCCGGGCUCACCUGGGAUGGCAAUUCGAGCUGCCAAGCUAGAGUGCAGCAGAGGGCAGUGGAAUUCCCGGUGUAGCGGUGAAUGCGUAGAUAUCGGGAGGACACAGUGCGAUGCGACUGCUGGGCUGACACUGACGCUGAGUGCGAAGCGUGGUAGCAACAGGAUAGAUACCUGUAGUCACCUGU
RNAcentral lists this ribosomal RNA (777 nucleotides) under uncultured Pseudomonas sp. RNAcentral's name for it is "bacterial SSU rRNA". It matches the Rfam family "Bacterial small subunit ribosomal RNA", at positions 8 to 801 of the family's 1533-position model. The record is from RNAcentral. Lineage: Bacteria; Pseudomonadati; Pseudomonadota; Gammaproteobacteria; Pseudomonadales; Pseudomonadaceae.